RNAcentral lists this unclassified non-coding RNA (341 nucleotides) under soil metagenome. RNAcentral describes it as "partial contains 5.8S ribosomal RNA, internal transcribed spacer 2, and large subunit ribosomal RNA". The stretch from base 1 to 120 matches the Rfam family "5.8S ribosomal RNA", at positions 35 to 154 of the family's 154-position model. The record is from RNAcentral.
GAUGAAGAACGUAGCGAAAUGCGAUAAGUAGUGUGAAUUGCAGAAUUCAGUGAAUCAUCGAAUCUUUGAACGCACAUUGCGCCCUUUGGUAUUCCAAAGGGCAUGCCUGUUCGAGCGUCAUUUGUACCCUCAAGCUUUGCUUGGUGUUGGGCGUCUUGUCUCUAGCUUUGCUGGAGACUCGCCUUAAAGUAAUUGGCAGCCGGCCUACUGGUUUCGGAGCGCAGCACGAGUCGCACUCUCUAUCAGCAAAGGUCUAGCAUCCAUUAAGCCUUUUUUUCAACUUUUGACCUCGGAUCAGGUAGGAAGACCCGCUGAACUUAAGCAUAUCAAUAAGCGGAGGA